AUUGAACGCUGGCGGCAUGCCUAAUACAUGCAAGUCGAACGAAGCUUUUUUAACUAGUGCUUGCACCGACUUAAACAACUGAGUGGCGAACGGGUGAGUAACACGUGGGUAACCUGCCCCAAAGCGGGGGAUAACAUUUGGAAACAGAUGCUAAUACCGCAUAACCACAGAAACCACAUGGUUUCUGUGUCAAAGAUGGUUUCGGCUAUCACUUUGGGAUGGACCCGCGGCGUAUUAGCUAGUUGGUAAGGUAAUGGCUUACCAAGGCAAUGAGACGUAGCCGAACUGAGAGGUUGCUCGGCCACAUUGGGACUGAGACACGGCCCAAACUCCUACGGGAGGCAGCAGUAGGGAAUCUUCCACAAUGGACGAAAGUCUGAUGGAGCAACGCCGCGUGAGUGAAGAAGGUUUUCGGAUCGUAAAACUCUGUCGUCAGAGAAGAACGUGUGCGAGAGUAACUGUUCGUGCAGUGACGGUAUCUGGCCAGAAAGCCACGGCUAACUACGUGCCAGCAGCCGCCGUAA
RNAcentral lists this ribosomal RNA (524 nucleotides) under uncultured bacterium. Its description in RNAcentral is "partial 16S ribosomal RNA". It matches the Rfam family "Bacterial small subunit ribosomal RNA", at positions 30 to 523 of the family's 1533-position model. The record is from RNAcentral.